RNAcentral lists this long non-coding RNA (4692 nucleotides) under Brassica napus (rape). RNAcentral describes it as "long non-coding RNA (BNAP_LNC012487)". The record is from RNAcentral. Lineage: Eukaryota; Viridiplantae; Streptophyta; Magnoliopsida; Brassicales; Brassicaceae.
AGCAGAGGAGGAGAACAAUGAUAAAGAAGAAAGUUGUGAACUUAGCCAUUUUAUGAUAUGACUAAGUACUAUACGGUUUCUGUUAGUUAUGAAGUAGAUCAGAUCAAAUAUAUCGAGAGAGAGGUGAUGACUGAUGGGAGGAACUUGUAUGAGAUUUAGGUUAGUAUUUGGGGAGUAUUUAUAGAGAAAACAUGAGAUGCGAUAAAGGUUCAGCAGAAACCUGAGCCAUAUAAUCUUAAGUGUGCGUCAUGAAACCAUUACAUACCAAACACGAGCAUGUAUAUUUUUAAUUGCUAAAAUUGAGUUAUAUAUGAAAAUAAAUGAUAUGUAAUUAAACCAUUGUUUUUGGUUGGUGAAUCAGGCAGUUUCUGGUGAAAUUGAUCAAUGAGGAGUCAACUAUAUCUUAAAUACCUACAUACAUAAAUGGAAGAAAGUUGGUGGCGGAUGUAUCUGUACACUCUGAGAUUCACCUAAUGAUUCUCGUGUGAAGUUAGUUGCAGUAUACACUAAUGAGUGUCGUAGUUAAUUACUUAUAAAGCAUUUCGAUGGUUGUAAAUUGUAAUUAGUGAAUAAUUGGCUAUUUCCAACGGCCCCCCGGGAAUUCCUUCCUGUAAUUCUAUUAUUUUUGUUGUUGGUAAGUAAUUAUUUUACACAUACGUGUGAUACGUCGGCUUCAGGCCCGGCUCAAAAUAUAAUUGGGCCCUGUCUUGUUGAAAAUUUGAAAAAUAUUUUCUAUAGUACUUAUGAAAACUAGACUUUUAAAUUAUUAGAAUUUUCAAAUUUUGGGCCCUAAAAUAAUAAGGAUCUAUAUAUAUAAAAAUAAGUUUGUUUCACUCCUGUGCGUCCACGUCAGCGCUAGGUCAGAAAGUCGAGGUUUGUAGUGCCGCCACGUGUCCCGUCCGUACGAAACGCAUCACUUCAUUUAUUUUUAAUAUCUGUUGGGCUUUUAAGGUUAAUCUUAUAUAUUCAGUGUUUUUGGGCUGAUAAAUUCGUAUGGUUAAGUUGGCCCGAUGGCCCAUGAACAGAAACCUAAAUCUGAUGAAGCAAAAAAGUCUGUGUGACGAUUCCAUUAGAGAGACUGAGAUGUAGAAGUCUGUGUGCCGAUUCCAUUGGUUGGGUUUCGAUCAGUACUUUCGACUUCUUUCCAUCCAUCGAAACGAGAUAGCUUCUGGAUCCAUCGCAGUAAACAAGAUAGCUUUUGGAUCCAUCGCAGUAAACAAGAUAGUAAGCAUCAGUGUUUGUUUGAUUUUCGUAAUCUCUAGAUUAUUUUAAGGUUCCUUAUUGUCUCUUAGUUCCUUAUUGAUGUUCUUAUUGGAUUGAUCAUCAUCAUCUCCUCCGAUGUUAGAUCAGUCUUUUUGAAAUUUAAAUUUUUUUAUUAAUGAUUAUAUUGCAAGAGGGUUAAUUAAGAAUAUAAUGGGAUUAUGGAAAAUGCAAACGUGAAAACACCACUAGGCACUAGCUAUGUUUCUAAUAUAUUAAUCCAAUCAACAUUAAUCAUUAUCAUAUUAGGUUGAGGUAUAGUAUCGUGAAAAAAAGUUUGAUUUUUAAAAAUGCAUUCAUUAUUUGUUUCUAAUAUGUUUUGUUUCACCACUACCUACGUCUCUCGAAACAAUGGAAUUCAACAUCAACAAAACUGUCACAGCAUGGGAAGAAAUGUUUAAUUGAAGAAUGAAUUUGGAACAUAUCGCAUUAUAAAGGUAAGUAGGUAACUGGAUAUUAUAUUCGAUCUUAGAUUUUAUAGAACGGAGUACAUAGUAGCAUGCCCAAAUUAAUAAAGUUUUUGGCUUUAUUGCUCGAAACAAGAUUUCAGGUUCAAAGAGUUGGUCAACAUCAUAAUGCACUAUCCUCAAGGGAAUCAUGGAAUUUAUAAAGAUGGAAGGCCUAUCUAUAUCAAGAGCCUAGGACAAGUCAUCCCGGUAAGUAUCAUGUACUAGAAACAUACAAACAUUGUGACCUUUAGGCUUUAGAUAAUGUGAAUACAUAUUGUGAGAAGAAGAUGGAUCGUUGAUCAUCGAUCAUGUUCUUGAUAAUGUUUAUAUGAUUCUUGCGACAGAUCUGUUUCUAUUGAUCCUUCACCUAGAUUUCAUGAUUUGGAUAUGUUCUCUGGUCUCACGUUAGUUGUUUGUUAGAGAUUGAUUUUGAUUCAUAUAAAUGAAGCUCAUGAUUGCUGGAUAUUUAUCUGAUAAUGGUAUAGGUCGAUGUCCACACAUUAAAAGUGUCAAGGUUAGAUAUGUGGUUCCGAGUGGAGCUUUGGUUGGUAUCUACGAGGAUCUUGAGCUCAAAGAUGGGGGAUCAAACUACCUUGGGAAGUGUAUCUCUAAAGUGAGAAACUACAUUGUCCGUGAGAGAAGUAUUAUCCGAUUUUUUUCCUUUUUUUUUUGUUGAUGUCGGCUGUUGGCAAUGUGAACUCGAUCAUUGGCCCAGCGUUAAUCUUUCCUUGUUUUAUGUUUAGUGCUACAAAUUUGUUUCUAAAACUGUUUUUUCACAUUCAUGUAUUUUUUUGUUCUUGCAGGAUCCAAGAUCCAACUCAGCAGACUGAUAUUGACAACUUCAUGGUCUCUGGAGAGAUGGAACCCAAAACGAGCCGGGUUGGUGAAAUCAAAAGAUGAUUCAAGAGAAAUUCAUGUUUUAUGUAUUUAGUCAAUAAUGAAAGAUGAUUCUGACCAUCUUGGUUCUUCUUUUUGUGUACAGCUUGUAGCCAAUUGUAUUUUUGCUGUGUGCAAAGCUGGGGUCAUUGACUCAUUGUCUAUGGCAUUCUCUCUACAAAGCGAAAGUAGGAGAGCAAAAGGUAAAAAUAAAUUAGAUGAUAGGGUAAUGUUCGGCACCAACAAAGAUGAGGGGAAAAGGCAAACAAUAAAAAGAAUUAAUGAUUACAUUUUUACGUUUUUUAUGGUAGAUAAUUUUAUAAAUUUUAACAAAAAGGGAAAAUAGUAGAGUUGGUAUAACUAUAGUUAAAUUUCUGAUUUGUAAAUUUCUAUCUUUUGGCUUAUUGCAACAGUCACUGUAUUCUAAGGGAUGUGGUACAAUAGCAAGUUUAUACGUGUCUAUAUUCUGAGUCAUGAAAGCUUUGUAAACUACUUACUUGGCUCUACUUAAGAGCCAAAACCAAUGUAUGCUGACUCUUUCGAGAAUUACAAUCAAGAAGAAAAAGAAAGAUUAUGCAACAAUUACUUUUACGUGGCUUUCUCCGAGAAGUAACAGCAGAGGAAAGUGCCAAUGAGAAGAGAAAUACAAACAACAUGGAUGCAUUGAUGGUUCCAUAGAUUAUAUGAUUCUCUAUAUCUAUCUAAACUUAUUGGUCAUCCGAACAAUUUAACUAAGUUUUACUAAGAAAAUUUUAUAUGCUUCAUAAAGUUCUUUAUGAACUUAACCAAAAAAAUAUAUUGGUUUAAAUUCCAUUAACGUAAAAAUACAUUUUCUUUUGUAGUCUACAUAUUAUGAUUUUAAAGUAGCUAUUGGUUUGAAUCUAUUUUAUUAACUUUAUAUUAUAGUAAUAGACUAUAAGGGAUUAUUAAUUUCAUAGUAAUAUAAUUUUUAAAAAUUCUAAAUGAAUGAGUGUUACUUAAUCCGAGAAUGUAGUAUGACCUUGGCUGGUUUAUUUGAUAAAAGUUUUAAUAGAAUGUGUGUUUACUUAAAUAGUCAAUUUCAGAUUGUUAUGUUAAAAAACAAAUUGUAAAUUGAUUCAUUUUUCACAUUAUCUAAAUCAAUAGGUUUAAGAAUGUAUAAAAAAGUACCAACGCAUAGUUAAAAGUUAAGAGACGGGUUCUUAUAUUCCGCUAAGAACCUCGUUCUAAGAAUCUUCCAAUAAUCAUGCUCUAAGAUGCUUAAAAGGAUUUUGAUGUCUCAAUAUAUAAGAUAUUUUCAUAUUUUUAGGUAAACUUUAAUUUUUAAUUUAUAGUUUUAAGUUUUUAAUAAAAAUUAACUUUUAGUAUGUGUUUUUUUACUAAAACAAUUUAUAUUUAGGAACAGAGUGAUUAGGUAUCACUUCGUAUUAUAGUGGAAAAAGAAACCAUACUACUAGUACCUAACUUUUCCACCAAUAAUCAAUACACAUACUUUCAGAUCAAGUGAUAUAGAUAAAUACAAAUGUGAAGUAGUUUGACUAAUAAUAAAGAAAGCACAAUGACACAAUAUAUCAUUUACCAAAAUAUUCCAAUGAAUGAUUAGAAGCUAAUUAAUCAUUUAGGGAUUGUGGUUUUGUGUGUAGAUGUAAUCAGUAUGAGCAGCCAAAGUUCUACGUAUCAAGAAGCAUUCUUCUUCUCCAACACCUUCGCAGUUUUCCUCUCCUUGUUCUAAUUUCUGUACAUAAAAAAAUAAUAUGAUCACUAAAUUUAAAUUGUUUAUAUCUCCAUCAUGUUUAUUAAUUCACUAUAAAUAGAAUAAGAAGAGUGAUGGUGAGGUUGGGAGACCUCAACGGAGAUUUCUCCCGGAUAAACGGACGUUGGAGUAGGCUGGGCUGAUGCGUUUGUUAGCGUGGAGCAGAGGAGGAGAACAAUGAUAAAGAAGAAAGUUGUGAACUUAGCCAUUUUAUGAUAUGACUAAGUACUAUACGGUUUCUGCUAGUUAUGAAGUAGAUCAGAUCAAAUAUAUCGAGAGAGAGGUGAUGACUUAAGAUGGGAGGAACUUGUAUGAGAUUUAGGUUAGUAUUUGGGGAGUAUUUAUAGAGAAAACAUGAGAUGAGAUAAAGGUUCA